GAUGAACGCUGGCUACAGGCUUAACACAUGCAAGUCGAGGGGAAACGACGGGGAAGCUUGCUUCCCCGGGCGUCGACCGGCGCACGGGUGAGUAACGCGUAUCCAACCUGCCUCUGACUGAGGGAUAACCCGUCGAAAGUCGGCCUAAUACCUCAUGGCAUCGUCUGCGGGCAUCCAACGACGAUUAAAGAUUUCAUCGGUCAGGGAUGGGGAUGCGUCUGAUUAGCUUGUUGGCGGGGUAACGGCCCACCAAGGCUACGAUCAGUAGGGGUUCUGAGAGGAAGGUCCCCCACAUUGGAACUGAGACACGGUCCAAACUCCUACGGGAGGCAGCAGUGAGGAAUAUUGGUCAAUGGGCGGGAGCCUGAACCAGCCAAGUAGCGUGCAGGAGGACGGCCCUAUGGGUUGUAAACUGCUUUUAUGCGGGGAUAAAGUGAGGGGCGUGUCCUUCAUUGCAGGUACCGCAUGAAUAAGGACCGGCUAAUUCCGUG
RNAcentral lists this ribosomal RNA (491 nucleotides) under uncultured bacterium. Its description in RNAcentral is "partial 16S ribosomal RNA". It matches the Rfam family "Bacterial small subunit ribosomal RNA", at positions 28 to 507 of the family's 1533-position model. The record is from RNAcentral.